CCGAUAAGAGGCAAGUGCUAUCCGGAUUUACUGGGUGUAAAGAGUGUGCAUUCGGUUCUCAAAAUUGGAUGUGAAAGCUCCUGAUUCAACUGAGAGAGGUCUUUCAAUACUACCGCACUCUAUCACAGUAAAGGGAGGUGGAAUUCGCGGUGGAGUGUCGAAAGGAGUACAUAUCAUUAGGAACAUCCUGGGCUAACGCGGCCUCCUGCAUUGUCCCUGAUAUUCAGACGCGAAUGCUAGGGGAGCCUACGGGAUUAGAGACGCCGGUAGUCCUAGCUGUAAACGAUGUGAACUUGGCGUCGGUGGUGUAAAAACCAUCGGUGCCGAAGCUAUCGCGAUAAGUUCUCCGCCUGGGGAUUACGUCCGCAAGGUUAAAACUCAAAGGAAUUGACGGGUCUCCGCACAAGCAGCGGAGCGUGUGGCUUAAUUCGAUGUUACACGAAGUACCUUACCCAGGUUUGACAUGCUGGUAGUAGGGAAGCGAAAGCAGAGCGGGCCGCAAGGGAACCUGCACAGGUGCUGCAUGGCGGUCGUCAGCUCGUCUCGUGAGAUGUUCGGUUAAGUUCCACAACGAGCGCAACCCUUGUCUUAUGUUACAAGUUUCAUCCGAGAUCGUCGGUAUCAAUCCGGAGGAAGGUGGGGAUGAUGUCAAGUCAGCAUGGCUUUUAUAUGGGGGGUUGCACUCCCGCUACAAUGGCCGGUUCAAUGGGUUGUUAAUCCGCGAGGUAGAGACCAUUCUCAAAACCGGUCUCAGUUCAGAUCACAGGGUGCAACCCGCCUGUGUGAAGAUGGAGUUGCUAGUAAACUCGCGUCAACAAUAGUGCGCUGCAUUCGUUAGCCGGGGAUU
RNAcentral lists this ribosomal RNA (847 nucleotides) under uncultured bacterium. RNAcentral's name for it is "SSU rRNA". It matches the Rfam family "Bacterial small subunit ribosomal RNA", at positions 524 to 1382 of the family's 1533-position model. The record is from RNAcentral.